RNAcentral lists this non-coding RNA (30 nucleotides) under Homo sapiens (human). The record is from RNAcentral. Lineage: Eukaryota; Metazoa; Chordata; Mammalia; Primates; Hominidae.
UAUUGCCCUAAAUGAAAAGCCCAUGAUUUU